Molecule: ribosomal RNA, 253 nt
Filed under: uncultured bacterium
Lineage: Bacteria
Description: partial 16S ribosomal RNA
Rfam family: Bacterial small subunit ribosomal RNA
Source: RNAcentral
UACGUAGGGUGCAGGCGUUAAUCGGAAUUACUGGGCGUAAAGCGUGCGCAGGCGGUUUGCUAAGACAGGUGUGAAAUCCCCGGGCUUAACCUGGGAACUGCGCUUGUAACUAGCAGGCUAGAGUGUGGCAGAGGGGGGUGGAAUUCCAGGUGUAGCAGUGAAAUGCGUAGAUAUCUGGAGGAACACCGAUGGCGAAGGCAGCCCCCUGGGCUAACACUGACGCUCAUGCACGAAAGCGUGGGGAGCAAACAGG